UACGUAGGGGGCAAGCGUUGUCCGGAAUGACUGGGCGUAAAGGGAGUGUAGGCGGCCUUUUAAGUUAUAUGUGAAAGCCCCCGGCUUAACCGAGGAACUGCAUAUAAAACUGGAGGGCUGGAGUGCAGGAGAGGUAAGCGGAAUUUCUAGUGUAGCGGUGGAAUGCGUAGAUAUUAGGAAGAACACCGGAGGCGAAGGCGGCUUACUGGACUGUAACUGACGCUGAGGCUCGAAAGCGUGGGGAGCAAACA
This 251-nucleotide ribosomal RNA is filed under the name uncultured bacterium. RNAcentral describes it as "partial 16S ribosomal RNA". It matches the Rfam family "Bacterial small subunit ribosomal RNA", at positions 524 to 774 of the family's 1533-position model. The record is from RNAcentral.